GCAGGGAUGGAGCUGGGUGGGGGAGCAGAGAGCGAAGUGGGGAGCAGGGAGCAAACCCACAGAGGAGCUGGGCAUGGGGCAGCUGUGAUGUGUGCAGCAGAUUCUCUCAGUUUGCUCAGAGCUCCGCUUUCUGCUACCAGAAACCUCACUGGGGAACAUCUCAAGGCUUCAGUGCAAGCUCGGUGCUGCUGCCUCCUGCAAAGAGGGCUCCAGUGCCAGGCUCUGCCCCCCCAGAGCCCUUGCUGUGCGCAUGGGGCCAGCCUCGUCCCUGCAGCUUCCUCGGGAAGCUUCCUCCUCCUCCGCUGCGUGGUGCCCAGGAGGGGCCAUCAAUGGCAGGAGGAAGCAAAAAAUAACCUCGGCUGCAGAUCUGGAAGCUGCUGUCUCCCAUAACGACGCUGAAUCGCGGCUCUGGGGAAUGGUCUGCGGGCUCUGCUGACGGGGGGACAUCUCUGGAAUCCUAAAAGGGCCUUCUGAGAAGCUGGGCAGGCAGCAGCCCUCCGUGAUGCCGGCUGUGCGUAUCCCCGGGUGCCAGAGCGGGGGGACCCGGCCAGCUCUGAGACGGCACCAGCUUUAGAAGCAGCAGGUUCCAGCUGAGCGUGCCUUUUAAUGAACAGCCUCUCCACGCAAAGGGCUGCGCUGUCUGCAGCCUCGGUAUCAAGCAGGGCGCAGUGCCGUGCGAGCGCAGCGAUGAAGAAAAGCCCCGGGACGUGGGGCUCGUCGUUUCCCGAGUCGCCGAUCUCCUUGGUUACAGCAACUCCCCUCAACACACAACGCAACCGCGCUGCCCGAGCUCAGGCUGCCAGCAGCAGCCCCUCAGCUGGAGAGCUGGGAUCCCGGCUUUGUGGGGAGCUCCCCGCAGUCUGGCACCGCCUCGCAGGGCUCCGGGGACACGUGGCAGCACGGGAAGGCUGCUGUGUGCUGGGAGGGCUCCUGCAGGUGCUCACAGCCGCUUUGCAGAGGCGUCGCUCAGCAGCUGCAGCGUUGGCACCGCUGUCGGGGCAGCGCUGACGAGCGCGAUCCCAAUUACCGCGAGCUGCUGGGGCAGGGUGCUGAGCCACAACCGCUCCACGCCGUGUCAGGGACGAGGAUGGCUUUGGGCAGCUGGCUGCUCCUUCUGUGCAGAGCUGGCCCCGGGGGUGCCAGCAGGGUGGUUGUGGGGCUGUGGGCUCAGCUCCCUGCCCUGGCACGGCUGCAGCACCGUGCCCACACGGCGAGGCUCCUGCAGCGCCCUGCGGCUGCCAGGGCAUGGGCAGAGGGACCCGACUGCCUCCCCUGCACACAGCCCGGCCACAGCACCCCAAACUGCCAGCUCUGUGUUCCAAACCUCGCUUCUGCUUCUCCCCCCUUGGUUUCCUGGAGGGUGAAGUCUCUGCCAGACAGCAGCGGCUCUGAGGAGGAGCCUCCAAACCCCCGGCUUUUGCUGCAAACAAAGGGCUCGUUUCCACACGCUGCCUGUGUGGGGAGAUUUCCCCAGCCAAACCUGCUGUGCUGUGCAGGAGCCCUGCAGCA
Molecule: long non-coding RNA, 1509 nt
Organism: Anas platyrhynchos (mallard)
Lineage: Eukaryota; Metazoa; Chordata; Aves; Anseriformes; Anatidae
Source: RefSeq, a predicted model, not a curated record